UACGUAGGAGGCGAGCGUUGUCCGGAGUUACUGGGCGUAAAGGGUGCGCAGGCGGCGGUUCGCGUGGAUAGAUGAAAUCUCCUGGCUUACCUGGGAGGAUGGUAUCCAGACGGGAUCGCUUGAGGGUCGGAGAGGGGCGUGGAAUUCCGGGUGGAGCGGUGAAAUGCGUAGAGAUCCGGAGGAACACCGACGGCGUAGGCAGCGCCCUGGACGACACCUGACGCUGAGGCACGAAAGCUGGGGGAGCGAACAGGAUUAGAUACCCUGGUAGUCCCAGCCCUAAACGAUGUCCACCAGGUACCGGGGGGAUCGACCCCCUCGGCGCCGCAGCUAACGUGAUGAGUGGACCGCCUGGGGAGUACGGCCGCAAGGUUGAA
This 377-nucleotide ribosomal RNA is filed under the name uncultured bacterium. RNAcentral's name for it is "bacterial SSU rRNA". It matches the Rfam family "Bacterial small subunit ribosomal RNA", at positions 524 to 898 of the family's 1533-position model. The record is from RNAcentral.